RNAcentral lists this RNase P RNA (268 nucleotides) under Bacillota bacterium. RNAcentral's name for it is "partial RNase P RNA component class A". It matches the Rfam family "Bacterial RNase P class A", at positions 87 to 367 of the family's 367-position model. Rfam says of the family: Ribonuclease P (RNase P) is a ubiquitous endoribonuclease, found in archaea, bacteria and eukarya as well as chloroplasts and mitochondria. Its best characterised activity is the generation of mature 5'-ends of tRNAs by cleaving the 5'-leader elements of precursor-tRNAs. The record is from RNAcentral. Lineage: Bacteria; Bacillati; Bacillota.
GGCGUAGGUAACUAUAGGGAAAGUGCAACAGAAACAUUCCGCCGAAACAGUACGGCUGUGGUAAGGUUGAAAUGGUGAGGUAAGAGCUCACCGGCAGCAUGGAGACAUGCUGGCCGUGUAAACCCCACCCGGAGCAAGGCCAAAUAGGGCAUGAAAGGUGGCUGCCCGUCACCUGCCCGGAAGGUAGGCCGCUUGAGCCUGUCAGCGAUGGCAGGUCGAGAUAGAUGAUUGUCGAAUACAGAACCCGGCUUACAGCUCUGCCCAUUUU